This 253-nucleotide ribosomal RNA is filed under the name uncultured bacterium. RNAcentral describes it as "partial 16S ribosomal RNA". It matches the Rfam family "Bacterial small subunit ribosomal RNA", at positions 524 to 776 of the family's 1533-position model. The record is from RNAcentral.
UACGAACUGUGCAAACGUUAUUCGGAAUCACUGGGCUUAAAGGGUGCGUAGGCGGCUUGUUAAGUAGGGUGUGAAAUCCCCCGGCUCAACCGGGGAAUUGCGCCCUAAACUGGCGAGCUGGAGUGAGAUAGGGGUGUGUGGAACUUCCAGUGGAGCGGUGAAAUGUGUUGAUAUUGGAAGGAACGCCAGUGGCGAAAGCGACACACUGGACCGUAACUGACGCUAAUGUGCGAAAGCUAGGGGAGCAAACGGG